CAAAAACAUUUAGACUCAAUAUACUUUAUUACACGCAAUUAUAACCCAAUUAAAACCCCAAAUAUUCCUCAAACACGUUCAAAGCUUCUUCUCCGAAUGGAAAACCAAAGGCAGACUCUCCUCCUCGUCCUUACACCGGAGCUCCAUUCCGCCAUAGUCAUCACCGGAGUUGUUUUUAGAGCCUGAAAAAGAUGUCGAAUCCGCCGUUAGUCUAGUGUCACAAUAUCAAGCUAUGAUACAGACAGAUGGUUUUGAAUAUUUAAAGGAAAACUGCCCUACUAUCUUGAUUGAAAUCUUGUAGUAUGUGGCUAGAGUUAGUGAACACUUUGUCAUCCAACACCAGCGUGGAAAUGAAGCCUAAAAAUCCUGUAUUUUGGAGAACUGAAUCAGCAAAAGUCACUUCCUAGAUUUGGUUUUCUAUUUAUAUAGAUAUGGAGGGGAUAAAACCCUCAAAUGAGGAAAUUAUAUACUUUUAACUUUCUGUAGUUCUUGCUCUUUUCACAGCAAAACCUUGUAUUUUGGAGAACAACUGAAUUUAUAAAUCAUGCAAAUGGUAUGUUGCAAGUGGCAAUUGGCUUA
Quercus robur (English oak) is the source of this 579-nucleotide long non-coding RNA. RefSeq lists it as uncharacterized. The transcript is spliced from 2 exons. The record is from RefSeq and is a predicted model, not a curated record. NCBI's taxonomy places the organism in Eukaryota, Viridiplantae, Streptophyta, Magnoliopsida, Fagales, Fagaceae.